RNAcentral lists this non-coding RNA (517 nucleotides) under Panagrolaimus labiatus. Lineage: Eukaryota; Metazoa; Nematoda; Chromadorea; Rhabditida; Panagrolaimidae. The record is from RNAcentral.
AAUCGGCUAGACUAAAAAAUAUUGUACUUUAAAUAUGUUUUUUUWAAUUUGUACUUAUAUAAUGUUUAAAUUUUAAGGUAAAAUAAAGAAUUAUUUUUAUUGAUAAUUUAAAAAUAAAAUUUUUUCUAAAAAUUGGAUUAGUACCCAAGUAUUAAAAAUUUAAAAGUACAGGAUUAAGUUUUAAUUUAAACUGAAAGAAUAUUGGCAGAUUUUUUAAUUAUCUUUGGAGGUUGAAAUGUAAUUGAGAGCCCUCAUUAUCAACUUCUUUUUUUGAUUCAUGUAUGAUCGUUUUUUAUAUUUUUAAGAAAUUUAAGUAAAUAUUUUAUAUAAAAAAAUAGAUAAAUACCUGGUUUAUAAAGAAGUUUUCCUUUGACCUACAAUAUAUUAUUAUUUGGAUUAGAUUUUUAGUAGAUCUAUGAAAUUGUAAAAGACAGUAAAACUUUUUUUAUGUAAGUUUGAAGAUUAUCAAAAAAUGGUACAAAUCAUCCAUCAAUUGCCUAAAGGGGAGUAAGUUGUA